Molecule: ribosomal RNA, 1244 nt
Filed under: Geodia neptuni
Lineage: Eukaryota; Metazoa; Porifera; Demospongiae; Tetractinellida; Geodiidae
Description: small subunit ribosomal RNA
Rfam family: Bacterial small subunit ribosomal RNA
Source: RNAcentral
AUUCCUUUGAUUUUGGGGAUAACAUAAAGCGAGCGGCACCUAUAAUACAUGUUAGGGAACGAGUAGUUUACAAACUAUAUGUCCCGGACAGGUGAGUAAUACUUUAGAAUUAACCAAUUGGGCACUAGAAAAUAGUGAAUCAAAGUAUAUGUUAUAACCAAUUGAUAAUCUGGAGUCGUAUUAGGUAGAGGAUUGUGUCCUGCCAAAGAUGCGUAGUCGAGAGACCACACUUUCACUGAAAUAAGGGAAAGACUCGUAUAGAGGCUGCAGUAGAGAAUCUUGUGCAAUGUAUGAAAGUACGACACAGGGAUGUCGCAGAAGAUAGACCGUCAAAUAUACGUGCCAGCCGACGCGGUUAUACGUAAGGUCUAAGUUUUUGUUCAGAAAGGCGUAAAGGGUGCGUAGGUGAAUGAGUAAAAAGAGGGGUAAAUAUAACUUUUAUGUAGCGGUAGAAUGCUUGAAUAUAAACAGGUACAUCAAAAGCGAAGGCAAUUUACUACAACAAACUGACACUCAAGCACGAAAGUUAGGGUAGCAAACAGGAUUAGAUACCCUGGUAGUCCUUACUGUAAACUAUGAGAAUUAGAUUAGAAGUAAGUCUACGAGAACUCAAAAAAAAAAACUCCGCCUGAAGAUUACGAUUGCAAGAUUAAAAUUUAAAAAAUUUGGCGGUUCACUAAACCAAUUAGAGGGGCGUGUAGUUUAAUUCGAUGAUCCGCGAUUAACCUUACCAAAGUUUGUAUAUUUAAUACGUAAAUAAAUCAGUACUAAAUACAGGUAUUGCAUGGCCGUCGUCAGUUCGUGUUGUGAAAGAAAUAGAAGGAGCUCAACCCUUAACGAUAAUUUUGUUGGAAUUACGUAAUUAAGGAUGACGUCAGGUCCUUAUGAUCCAAAUGUUUUGGGCGAUAUAUGCGCCACAAUCUUUUAUACAAAGAGAAAGACAAGAAAACUUUAAAAUAAAAGUUCGGAUUGUACCUUGAAAUAGGGGCAUAAAGUUGGAUUUAAUAGUAAUCGAAAAGCAGAGCGUUUCGGUGAAUUCGGCUCUAGUGUUCGUACAAAUCGCCCGUCACCUCCACUAAGUAAAUAAUUUUUAAGUGUUUAACUUAAGUUAAAGAAAUAAAUAUUAAAUAUUAAUUUUCUUUUAUUAUCUAAGCUCGUUAACAGUAGUUGAAUAUUAGGGAGAGUUUAUAAGGUGGAGAAAGUCGUAACAUAGUGAGGGUAUUGGAAAAUGCCCUCGGAUUAAU